CUCAAGCUAUCCGCACCACCCUCUCUUCCAUUUCAUGCGAAGAUUGUAGUCCCGCAGCCCUGCGACCAGCGGCCGGAAGCAGCUAAGAUGCUACUGCUCCCAGCAUGCCCCGCGAGGCGCGCACAGCACAGGCCCUCUCUCAAGGUCACCACCUCCACUCCCGUUGUAUGCUGGGAUUGUAGUCCGGCCGCCCUGUGACUAACGGCUGGAACCGCCUAAGACACCACCCCAGCCAGCAUGGCCGGCAGGAGCGCACCGCGCUGUCUCCCUCCAGGGAUCCGCACCGCCCUACAAUCCUGCUUUGUGCUGAGAUUGUAGUCCUGCAGGCGUACAACUAACAAGCUGGGUGCAGAUAAGAGACUACAGCUCCCCGCAUCCCAAGCAAAGGUCCCUCCUCUACGGAGCCCCUCCACGCGUCCACUGCGGUUCCGCCGUGCCAAGGGGAGCUUGGCUGUUCACGGGCCUCACCUGCUAGCGAGAAGAUAGCUUGGCCGGGCGGCUGAUCUCACCUUGUAAUUCUGACACUGUGUCUCCCGGGCUUGUCGGCUUCAUGACUUGUGCCCAAAGUUUGAUUUCUCGCAGACCAGGAGGACCCAUUGGACCCCCGGGCUGGCUGCAGGGCCCACACCUGGGUUAGACCUCGCACAGGGACGCUGCUGCCACUGUAAUAAAGCGUGCCUACACGCUUCUGAAACUGGUGUAGGAACAACCUCAGUUCUGUGAAAGGCGGACGCAGCAGGACAGAAUCUCCGUGGACAUCUGUCUGGAGGAGCAAUUUUACUGCGACAUUUUAAAGAAACAAAUUUAAUUGAUUUCCAAGGCUAGAGUGUGACAGAAAUCUAAAAGAUCAACUUCAUCGUGCAGGAAGGAGCAUAGAAAAAUAGAGAAAAGAAGAAAACAGCAAACCAUUCUGAGUACCGUGGAAACAAACUAAAAGUGGGCUUAGAAGGAAAACAGAGGAAGAAGGUCUGAGUAGUCCCAGGGACUCCAGAGGCCAAGAUGGGAAAGCCACCCAGGCGAGACAGGGGAGAUGGAAGCCACAGGGAAUCACUAUCACAUACCUCUGCUGGACCUGAAUGGUCCUGGCGCCAGCUAGAGCCAUCUGGUCGACCUUAGACAUGUCAAGGCAGGAGCCAUCUGAUCGACCUUAGACUUGGCAAGCUGGUGGCUAAGUCCAGUGCUCACUGCCGACAUCUGUCUCAAAAUAAACAAAAAGUCCAACAGUGAAUAUUUAACAAUAACAAAAAUAUAAUACCAAACAAUAUUAAAGACCAAUAAAUAAGUGGGAGUGAACAAAGGUAAAAGGUAACUAAUAUCACAAUUAAAAUAUUCUGCUAUCUCUCACUCUCUCUCUUCCCCUUUCCAUUUGUCACACCCAGGCUGGAAUGUGACAAAAAAAUAUAAAAGGUCAAUUUCAUCAUGCAGGAAUGAGUGUAGAAAAAGGGAGAAAAGAACAAAGAAGAAAAACAACAGCAAGUCUCUCUAAAACUUCAGUUAGUUUCACUGUAGAAAAAAAAAUUGAAAGUGGGGUUAGGAAAAAAAGGAAGGAGGAGGAUAAGUUCAGGUAGCCUGAGGGACUAGGGAAGCCAAGUGGGAAGACCACCUGGGUGACACUGGGAAGAUCGAGACCACAGUGAAUCAUGAUCACAUCCCUCUGCUGUACCUGAAUAGUACUUCCAAAGGCAGGAGCCAUCUGGUCAUCCUUAGUCAUGGCAAGGCGAGAGCCAUCUGGUUGACCUUAGAUAAGGUGAGAGCCAUCUGGUUGACCUUAGACUUGGCAAGCUGGCAGCUAAGUCCAAUCCUCUCAGCUGACAUCUUGGAGAGAGAGACAGACAGACAGACACAAACAGCGAGACAGGAGAAAAUCUUAAUUGUGUUAUUAAUUACUUUUCACCUUUGUUCACUCCAAACAGAAAAAAAUC
RNAcentral lists this long non-coding RNA (1922 nucleotides) under Homo sapiens (human). RNAcentral's name for it is "non-protein coding LINC00662:4". Lineage: Eukaryota; Metazoa; Chordata; Mammalia; Primates; Hominidae. The record is from RNAcentral.